UUUGAGACCUCAUCUUAGCUUAG
This 23-nucleotide microRNA is filed under the name Strongyloides ratti. RNAcentral describes it as "str-miR-8388-3p". Lineage: Eukaryota; Metazoa; Nematoda; Chromadorea; Rhabditida; Strongyloididae. The record is from miRBase by way of RNAcentral.